This 458-nucleotide ribosomal RNA is filed under the name uncultured bacterium. RNAcentral describes it as "partial 16S ribosomal RNA". It matches the Rfam family "Bacterial small subunit ribosomal RNA", at positions 29 to 507 of the family's 1533-position model. The record is from RNAcentral.
AACGAACGCUGGCGGCAUGCCUAACACAUGCAAGUCGAACGAGGCCUUCGGGUCUAGUGGCGCACGGGUGCGUAACGCGUGGGAACCUGCCCUUAGGUUCGGAAUAACUCCCCGAAAGGGGUGCUAAUACCGGAUAAUGUCUUCGGACCAAAGAUUUAUCGCCUUUGGAUGGGCCCGCGUUGGAUUAGCUAGUUGGUAGGGUAAAAGCCUACCAAGGCGACGAUCCAUAGCUGGUCUGAGAGGAUGAUCAGCCACACUGGAACUGAGACACGGUCCAGACUCCUACGGGAGGCAGCAGUGGGGAAUAUUGGACAAUGGGCGCAAGCCUGAUCCAGCCAUACCGCGUGGGUGAAGAAGGCCUUCGGGUUGUAAAGCCCUUUUGUUGGGAAAGAAAAGCAGCAGGUUAAUACCCCGCUGUUCUGACGGUACCCAAAGAAUAAGCACCGGCUAACUCCGUG